Molecule: ribosomal RNA, 251 nt
Filed under: uncultured bacterium
Lineage: Bacteria
Description: partial 16S ribosomal RNA
Rfam family: Bacterial small subunit ribosomal RNA
Source: RNAcentral
UACAGAGGGUGCGAGCGUUAAUCGGAAUUACUGGGCGUAAAGCGUGCGUAGACGGUUAUUUAAGUCGGGUGUGAAAGCCCCGGGCUCAACCUGGGAAUUGCAUUCGAGACUGAAUAGCUAGGGUACGGUAGAGGGAAGCGGAAUUUCCGGUGUAGCGGUGAAAUGCGUAGAUAUCGGAAGGAACAUCAGUGGCGAAAGCGGCUUCCUGGACCAGUACCGACGUCAGGCACGAAAGCGUGGGGAGCAAACAG